Molecule: ribosomal RNA, 1328 nt
Filed under: Serratia marcescens
Lineage: Bacteria; Pseudomonadati; Pseudomonadota; Gammaproteobacteria; Enterobacterales; Yersiniaceae
Description: partial 23S ribosomal RNA
Rfam family: Bacterial large subunit ribosomal RNA
Source: RNAcentral
AAUCGUACCCCAAACCGACACAGGUGGUCAGGUAGAGAAUACCAAGGCGCUUGAGAGAACUCGGGUGAAGGAACUAGGCAAAAUGGUGCCGUAACUUCGGGAGAAGGCACGCUGGCAUGUAGGUGAAGUCCUUCGCGGAUGGAGCUGAAGCCAGUCGAAGAUACCAGCUGGCUGCAACUGUUUAAUAAAAACACAGCACUGUGCAAACACGAAAGUGGACGUAUACGGUGUGACGCCUGCCCGGUGCUGGAAGGUUAAUUGAUGGGGUCAGCCGCAAGGCGAAGCUCUUGAUCGAAGCCCCAGUAAACGGCGGCCGUAACUAUAACGGUCCUAAGGUAGCGAAAUUCCUUGUCGGGUAAGUUCCGACCUGCACGAAUGGCGUAAUGAUGGCCAGGCUGUCUCCACCCGAGACUCAGUGAAAUUGAACUCGCUGUGAAGAUGCAGUGUACCCGCGGCAAGACGGAAAGACCCCGUGAACCUUUACUAUAGCUUGACACUGAACAUUGAGCCUUGAUGUGUAGGAUAGGUGGGAGGCUUUGAAGCGUGGACGCCAGUCUGCGUGGAGCCAUCCUUGAAAUACCACCCUUUAAUGUUUGAUGUUCUAACUCGGCCCCAUAAUCUGGGGUGAGGACAGUGUCUGGUGGGUAGUUUGACUGGGGCGGUCUCCUCCCAAAGAGUAACGGAGGAGCACGAAGGUUAGCUAAUCACGGUCGGACAUCGUGAGGUUAGUGCAAAGGCAUAAGCUAGCUUGACUGCGAGAGUGACGGCUCGAGCAGGUACGAAAGUAGGUCUUAGUGAUCCGGUGGUUCUGAAUGGAAGGGCCAUCGCUCAACGGAUAAAAGGUACUCCGGGGAUAACAGGCUGAUACCGCCCAAGAGUUCAUAUCGACGGCGGUGUUUGGCACCUCGAUGUCGGCUCAUCACAUCCUGGGGCUGAAGUAGGUCCCAAGGGUAUGGCUGUUCGCCAUUUAAAGUGGUACGCGAGCUGGGUUUAGAACGUCGUGAGACAGUUCGGUCCCUAUCUGCCGUGGGCGUUGGAAGAUUGAGAGGGGUUGCUCCUAGUACGAGAGGACCGGAGUGAACGCACCACUGGUGUUCGGGUUGUCAUGCCAAUGGCAUUGCCCGGUAGCUAAGUGCGGAAAAGAUAAGCGCUGAAAGCAUCUAAGCGCGAAACUUGCCUCAAGAUGAGUCUUCCCUGGGCCUUUAAGGCCCCUGAAGGAACGUUUAAGACUAAGACGUUGAUAGGCUGGGUGUGUAAGUGCAGCGAUGCAUUGAGCUAACCAGUACUAAUGAUCCGUGAGGCUUAACCUUACAACACCGAAGGUGUUU